AUUGAACGCUGGCGGCAGGCCUAACACAUGCAAGUCGAACGGUAACAGGAAGAAGCUUGCUUCUUUGCUGACGAGUGGCGGACGGGUGAGUAAUGUCUGGGAAACUGCCUGAUGGAGGGGGAUAACUACUGGAAACGGUAGCUAAUACCGCAUAACGUCGCAAGACCAAAGAGGGGGACCUUCGGGCCUCUUGCCAUCGGAUGUGCCCAGAUGGGAUUAGCUAGUAGGUGGGGUAACGGCUCACCUAGGCGACGAUCCCUAGCUGGUCUGAGAGGAUGACCAGCCACACUGGAACUGAGACACGGUCCAGACUCCUACGGGAGGCAGCAGUGGGGAAUAUUGCACAAUGGGCGCAAGCCUGAUGCAGCCAUGCCGCGUGUAUGAAGAAGGCAUUCGGGUUGUAAAGUACUUUCAGCGGGGAGGAAGGGAGUAAAGUUAAUACCUUUACUCAUUGACGUUACCCGCAGAAGAAGCACCGGCUAACUCCGUG
RNAcentral lists this ribosomal RNA (490 nucleotides) under uncultured bacterium. RNAcentral describes it as "partial 16S ribosomal RNA". It matches the Rfam family "Bacterial small subunit ribosomal RNA", at positions 30 to 507 of the family's 1533-position model. The record is from RNAcentral.